AACGAACGCUGGCGGCGUGGAUAAGACAUGCAAGUCGAGCGAAUUAUUUCGGGUAGCAAUAUUCGGAAUGGUUAGCGGCGCAAGGGUGCGUAACACGUGGGUAAUUUGCCACAAAGCUCAGGAUAACUUGCUGAAAAGUGAGCUAAUACUGAAUGUGAUGUUUUGAAAGCAUUUUUUUUAACAUCAAAGCUGGGGAUCGUAAGACCUAGCACUUUGUGAUAAGCCCGCGGCCUAUCAGCUAGUUGGUGAGGUAACGGCUCACCAAGGCUAAGACGGGUAGCUGGUCUGAGAGGACGACCAGCCACACUGGAACUGAGACACGGUCCAGACACCUACGGGUGGCAGCAGUCGAGAAUUUUUCACAAUGGGCGAAAGCCUGAUGGAGCGACGCCGCGUGGGGAUGAAUGGCUUCGGCCCGUAAACCCCUGUCAUUUGCGAACAAACCUUAUACUCUAACAAAGUGUGAGCUGAUUGUAGCGAAAGAGGAAGAGACGGCUAAC
This 500-nucleotide ribosomal RNA is filed under the name uncultured bacterium. RNAcentral's name for it is "bacterial SSU rRNA". It matches the Rfam family "Bacterial small subunit ribosomal RNA", at positions 29 to 501 of the family's 1533-position model. The record is from RNAcentral.